AUGAGUAGGGCUAUCAUUGAAGAGUAUAUUCAAGAGGUGGAAAAGUUAGCCUAUAGGUUGCUUGAACUCGUAGCUUUGAGCUUAGGACUAGAAGCAAAGAGAGUAAUGGUUAACUCUGCGAGAGAAAGGUUUUCAAUUCCCUUCUUUUUCUUCCCUGCGCAUUACACCGAAGUCAAGCCUUUGGAGGAGCUGACAAAUGAGGAAAAUCCUCCAAAGUAUAGACCUUACAACUGGGGGGAGUUUCUUGUGAACAGAAAGGCUUAA
Molecule: long non-coding RNA, 264 nt
Filed under: Vicia faba (fava bean)
Lineage: Eukaryota; Viridiplantae; Streptophyta; Magnoliopsida; Fabales; Fabaceae
Source: RNAcentral